CUGAGUAGUAGUAGUUAUGGUCUUGAAACUUAAAGAAUUUGGCGGUAUUUUAGUCUAUUCAGAGGAACCUGUUCUAUAAUCGAUAAUCCACGAUGGACCUUACUUUUUCUUGUCUUUACAGUUUAUAUACCGUCGUUAUUAGAAUAUUUUAAAAGAAUAUAAAUUUUCAUGAAUUUUUAUAAAAAUAUAUAUCAGAUCAAGGUGUAGCUUAUGAAAAAGCAGAAAUGGGUUACAAUAAAAAUAUUUAAACGGAUUAUUUUAUGCAAAAUGAUAUGAAGGUGGAUUUGAAUGUAAAAUUGUAAAGAUUAAUAAUUUGACCCUAGCUCUAAAAUAUGCACACAUCGCCCGUCGCUCUUAUUACUAAGAUAAGAUAAGUCGUAACAUAGUAGAUGUACCGGAAGGUGUAUCUAGAAUGACAAUUUAAAGCUUAUUAAGUAAAGUAUUUCAUUUACAUUGAAAAGAUUUUUGUGCAAAUCAUUAUAAAUUGAAUUUUAUUUAUUUAUUAAUAUUAUUUAAUUUACCUUUUUGUAACAAAAAUAAUUAUAUAGAAAUUUGUUUAAGUAUAGUAUAUAGAAAAAAUAUUAUUAGUGAUAAAGAAUUAGUAUCGUGAGAGAAUAUUGAAAUAUUUGAAAAAA
RNAcentral lists this ribosomal RNA (635 nucleotides) under Sepedon spinipes. Its description in RNAcentral is "partial 12S ribosomal RNA". The stretch from base 417 to 488 matches the Rfam family "tRNA". Lineage: Eukaryota; Metazoa; Arthropoda; Insecta; Diptera; Sciomyzidae. The record is from RNAcentral.